AGUGAAUAGAUACCCUGGUAGUCCACGCUGUAAACGAUGAGUGCUGGACGUUGGCGGGUUUACCUGCCGGUGUCGCAGCUAACGCGUUAAGCACUCCGCCUGGGGAGUACGGCCGCAAGGUUAAAACUCAAAGGAAUUGACGGGGGCCCGCACGAGCGGUGGAGCAUGUGGUUUAAAUUCGACGCAACGCGCAGAACCGUUACCAGCCCUUGACAUGGGCGGACGGGUUCCAGAGAUGGACUCUUUCUCGCAAGAGCCACUACACAGGUGCUGCAUGGCUGUCGUCAGCUCGUGUCGUGAGAUG
RNAcentral lists this ribosomal RNA (304 nucleotides) under uncultured bacterium. Its description in RNAcentral is "bacterial SSU rRNA". It matches the Rfam family "Bacterial small subunit ribosomal RNA", at positions 774 to 1074 of the family's 1533-position model. The record is from RNAcentral.